UCCAGGCGCAGUUAAAGUCCGCAGGGUGCAACUUGACGAAGUAAGCCAGCGGAAGGGUUCAUGAAACACAUGAAACACACAGACCGUCUUGAGCGAUGACAGGUCUUGGCGACUUGCACGAGUCAAGUCACAUCUACGAAUUCGGGGGUGCUCUUUGGUGGAACAAGGCAGCACAGUUCAGCAACUUUCUGACUACAGUAGAGUAAGAAAUAGUUCGUGGUUCUCUGCUGGCAAGUUGUGCUCCAAGUAGGGAAAUAGGGGUCAGGUAAAAAAAGGAGGAGGAAAGGAUGCCAUCAGCACUCUGUACUCCUAGGUGCACUCUUAA
This is a long non-coding RNA of Ornithodoros turicata, 325 nucleotides long. RefSeq lists it as uncharacterized. Lineage: Eukaryota; Metazoa; Arthropoda; Arachnida; Ixodida; Argasidae. The transcript has 3 exons. The record is from RefSeq and is a predicted model, not a curated record.